UUAAGUCCAGCGGGUCGUCCUACCUGAGUUGAGGUCAUUAUUGUUCGUGUACUCCAAUAAAGGGAGCAUGGCACUUUGCCAGUCGUCAAGCUUCGCCCAAAUGAAAAAGGAUUAGCACCGCAGAUUAGAGGUAUGAUAUAGGCGCUUCGACAAUACUGAUAAGAGUGAUUGCUACGACGCCAUCCCCAAGUUUGCGUAUU
This 200-nucleotide unclassified non-coding RNA is filed under the name Ramicandelaber sp. Its description in RNAcentral is "partial internal transcribed spacer 2". Lineage: Eukaryota; Fungi; Kickxellomycota; Ramicandelaberales; Ramicandelaberaceae. The record is from RNAcentral.